Molecule: non-coding RNA, 191 nt
Filed under: bovine gut metagenome
Source: RNAcentral
CGUCGUGAGGCGGAAUCCGAAGGAAGCCGGAUUUGAAGGAUGAAAAGUUCCUUCAAGGGCAAAACUCUGGCCCGACGAACAGAAAUCAUGUCAGGCCGUGUACGAGGGUGAGACUGCUAAACAAGUCAAAGCCCAAAAGCUGCACGGAAUCGUACGCGGUAAACAUGGCGGGCAGAAGAGCGAAAGAAUGU